This 430-nucleotide ribosomal RNA is filed under the name uncultured Vicinamibacter sp. RNAcentral describes it as "bacterial SSU rRNA". It matches the Rfam family "Bacterial small subunit ribosomal RNA", at positions 355 to 776 of the family's 1533-position model. Lineage: Bacteria; Pseudomonadati; Acidobacteriota; Vicinamibacteria; Vicinamibacterales; Vicinamibacteraceae. The record is from RNAcentral.
UGGGGAAUUGUUCGCAAUGGGCGAAAGCCUGACGACGCAACGCCGCGUGGAGGAUGAAGAUUUUCGGAUCGUAAACUCCUGUCGAAUGGGACGAACGGCCCGGCCGUGAACAGCGGCCGGGAGUGACGGUACCGUGAGAGGAAGCCCCGGCUAACUCCGUGCCAGCAGCCGCGGUAAUACGGGGGGGGCAAGCGUUGUUCGGAAUUACUGGGCGUAAAGGGCUCGUAGGUGGCCGCCUCAGUCCGACGUGAAAUCCCUCGGCUCAACCGGGGAACUGCGUCGGAUACUGGGUGGCUCGAAUCCGGGAGAGGGACGUGGAAUUCCAGGUGUAGCGGUGAAAUGCGUAGAUAUCUGGAGGAACACCGGUGGCGAAGGCGGCGUCCUGGACCGGCAUUGACACUGAGGAGCGAAAGCCAGGGGAGCAAACGGG